This 407-nucleotide ribosomal RNA is filed under the name uncultured bacterium. RNAcentral describes it as "partial 16S ribosomal RNA". It matches the Rfam family "Bacterial small subunit ribosomal RNA", at positions 30 to 526 of the family's 1533-position model. The record is from RNAcentral.
AUUGAACGCUAGCGGGAGGCCUAACACAUGCAAGUCGAGCGGAGCGGCGGACGGGUGAGUAAUGCAUAGGAAUCUGCCUGGUAGUGGGGGAUAACUUCCGGAAAGGGGCGCUAAUACCGCAUACUAUCAGAUGAGCCUAUGUCGGAUUAGCUAGUUGGUGGGGUAAAGGCCUACCAAGGCGACGAUCCGUAACUGGUCUGAGAGGAUGAUCAGUCACACUGGAACUGAGACACGGCCCAGACUCCUACGGUAGGCAGCAGUGGGGAAUAUUGGACAAUGGGCGAAAGCCUGAUCCAGCCAUGCCGCGUGUGUGAAGAAGGCCUUCGGAUUGUAAAGCACUUUAAGUUGGGAGGCGUUACCAACAGAAUAAGCACCGGCUAACUACGUGCCAGCCGCCGCGGUAAUUC